GAAACGGCGACUAAGCGUGUAGAAAGCUUUCGGGUUCCCUGUUUGGACGCGGGUUCGACUCCCGCCACCUCCACGA
RNAcentral lists this transfer-messenger RNA (76 nucleotides) under Alistipes sp. RNAcentral describes it as "partial transfer-messenger RNA". It matches the Rfam family "transfer-messenger RNA", at positions 296 to 374 of the family's 374-position model. From Rfam's summary of the family: Bacterial tmRNA, also known as 10Sa RNA or SsrA, is named for its dual tRNA and mRNA-like properties. Lineage: Bacteria; Pseudomonadati; Bacteroidota; Bacteroidia; Bacteroidales; Rikenellaceae. The record is from RNAcentral.